Molecule: non-coding RNA, 223 nt
Organism: Dermatophagoides farinae (American house dust mite)
Lineage: Eukaryota; Metazoa; Arthropoda; Arachnida; Sarcoptiformes; Pyroglyphidae
Source: RefSeq, a predicted model, not a curated record
UACGGUUCAUUAGUCACCCGAAUUAAUUACCUGAAUUCGUUAAUAAUAAUGCUGAUGCUGAUGACGAUGAUGAUGAUGAUUAUAAAAGGAAAAAUAAUCGCGAGGCAAAGAAAAUUUGUUCAACUAUUGAAUAAUGUGGAUCAUGACGAUAAAUGGAUAAUUUGAAGAUGAUUGCAUAAUUUGAAAAUUUGUUCAAGUUAAAAGACACAAACUUAUGAGAUGC